ACAGUCACUGACAUUAGAUACCCGGGUAGUCCAGGGUGUAAACGCUGCAGACUUGGUGUUGGAAGCCCUUUGGGGGCAUUCAGUGCCGGAGAGAAGUUGUUAAGUCUGCUACUUGGGAGUACGUCCGCAAGGAUGAAACUUAAAGGAAUUGGCGGGGGAGCACCGCAACGGGAGGAGCGUGCGGUUUAAUUGGAUUCAACACCGUAAAACUCACCAGGGAAGACUGUUACAUGAAGGCCGAGAUGAAGACUCUGCCAGAUUUUCAG
Molecule: ribosomal RNA, 266 nt
Filed under: uncultured archaeon
Lineage: Archaea
Description: partial 16S ribosomal RNA
Rfam family: Archaeal small subunit ribosomal RNA
Source: RNAcentral